CCUACGGGAUGCAGCAGUAGGGAAUCUUCGGCAAUGGACGAAAGUCUGACCGAGCAACGCCGCGUGAGUGAAGAAGGUUUUCGGAUCGUAAAACUCUGUUGUUAGAGAAGAACAAGUAGGAGAGUAACUGCUCUUACCUUGACGGUAUCUAACCAGAAAGCCACGGCUAACUACGUGCCAGCAGCCGCGGUAAUACGUAGGUGGCAAGCAUUGUCCGGAUUUAUUGGGCGUAAAGCGAGCGCAGGCGGUCUUUUAAGUCUGAUGUGAAAGCCCUCGGCUCAACCGAGGAAGGUCAUUGGAAACUGGAGGACUUGAGUGCAGAAGGGGAGAGUGGAAUUCCACGUGUAGCGGUGAAAUGCGUAGAGAUGUGGAGGAACACCAGUGGCGAGGCGGCUCUCUGGUCUGUAACUGACGCUGAGGCGCGAAAGCGUGGGGAGCAAACAGGAUUAGAUACCCUUGUAGUC
This 464-nucleotide ribosomal RNA is filed under the name uncultured bacterium. RNAcentral's name for it is "bacterial SSU rRNA". It matches the Rfam family "Bacterial small subunit ribosomal RNA", at positions 338 to 795 of the family's 1533-position model. The record is from RNAcentral.